RNAcentral lists this long non-coding RNA (254 nucleotides) under Glycine max (soybean). RNAcentral describes it as "long non-coding RNA (GMAX_LNC003658)". The record is from RNAcentral. Lineage: Eukaryota; Viridiplantae; Streptophyta; Magnoliopsida; Fabales; Fabaceae.
GUCUAAGGCUUCUUUUCUUUGUAGUUUUCGAUUAUAUGAAACUUCCUCUCUCAAAGAUUGGUUAAGAUCGAAUGGAACUGUCUUUGAUUAGAUGGAAGCAGAUGGAUAGAUAGUGUGUAGUGAUUUAUUUAAUUGUAGUUCGUCUUUAUUAGUUAUAGAUGUCCCCAAUCCCACAUGUCUUUCUUGAUUAGUAAACCCAACCAUCGAUUUACAACAAACAAGUUUUUUCUCGUUUGUAUUUUUUAAGGGGUGCA